GGGUAUUGAAGUAUUAAGGAUUAAUAUUAUCUAAACUAAGUUAUGCUAAGUAGAUAGAUCGGCCCACACUCAAGGUCCAAUAGAAUAGUUAGUAUAAAUAGUAUUGUUGUAAUUAUUUUAUUUAUUUUUGAUAAAUCUUAAUACAAAGCAAAACCCUAGGGUUUCCCAAACGUCUCAUCUCCCCUCCGCGACUCCUCACUAUCCUCGUCAGUCUCCCAACGCUGCUCCGACUCACACGUCACCGGACUCACUACUCUCUUCAAGGUUAUCGAUUUUUUGAUACAGAUCUAAAGAUCCAACACCCUAUCUGGUUAACUCGUAUCACAAUAUUCUUCUCAGGUGGAACUACUUGAUCAUUAAGGAUCAAGUCAGACAAAUGGUGGAGUUGCAAGAGACUUUUGAUUUAAGCACGCCAAAACAGAUAGGUAUCGUUGCGAGGUUCCAACGGAUUUCUCACCCAAUGUGAAACUUGGCAUCGAUGAACGUUAUCUGACAGUAGCGAAGUGGGGGAAUUUGAAGAAGAUUCUUGAGUGGUCAUCGUCGUUGAUUUGGUGGAGAUAGAAAAUCUCCAGAUUGUGUACGUUUACCACCUGAGAUGAGAAGAGAUGAAAACAAAAGAGGAGAAAAAAGAAAACAAUUAUAGGGAAAAAACUAACCUGGCCUAAUGAGCAUUAUCUGGAGUAGUGGGGUCAUCGGUGUUGGUUUGUUGAAUUGGCAGAGAUGGUUGUUGGCGGUUAUGAUGUCCGGUGGUCUUGGCUGGCCGAAUAUUUGGUCUAUAACCUAACGAGCACAGCUUGAAGACCGUCUACCAGGUGAGUGACCGUACCCGAGGAUGUGGUUUGAAGUUUCGAUGUAGCUUCCACCCGUCAAUACAGUGAUGAGUUGCUAGAUUCUGCACGAUCGUUGUCUGCAGGUGGAAGACCAGAGUUCUCGUUUGCCAUGGAGGUGAGUUACGGAAUCUGAAAGCACCAAAUGUAGAGACUUAGGUGCUAGCUCCGACGAUGAUAACCGUUAAACUAAAAAAAAUUAAUACCAAGCAGAAAAAUAUCGUAAAACCUCCGUAGCUAGGGGUGAGAACGAGACGGGUCCCCUCUGGUGUUGGAUCGUGAUCUGAGGCUAUAAGGGGGGAUAAUAGCCUCUUUUCGAUUUAUACAGGUUGAUUGUGAAAUUACCUGUAAACACUUAAUAAACAAAUGGUUGAACAAUAAUGAUAUAGAGAUAUUAUAACUUUGAUUGAUAUAAUAACGUAAUUAUUACUCUUCGAAGCUUACCACAGUAUAUGAAUACUGAGUCAACUUGCUUGAUAGUGUCUUACAAACAACUAUAGUAUAUGAGUACUAAAUUAUAUUGUAAACACAAAUUGUAUUGUAGAGUAAAUGACUAGAUAACUGGAUAUUUUGAUAAGCAAGUAAAUGAUCAGAUAACUGGAUAUAUAUGAUAAGUAAAUGCUUGAACAAAUAUAAGGAUUUAAAGCAAUGAAUAUAAC
This 1486-nucleotide long non-coding RNA is filed under the name Zostera marina. RNAcentral's name for it is "long non-coding RNA (ZMAR_LNC005961)". The record is from RNAcentral. Lineage: Eukaryota; Viridiplantae; Streptophyta; Magnoliopsida; Alismatales; Zosteraceae.